Molecule: ribosomal RNA, 420 nt
Filed under: uncultured bacterium
Lineage: Bacteria
Description: bacterial SSU rRNA
Rfam family: Bacterial small subunit ribosomal RNA
Source: RNAcentral
UAAGGAAUAUUGCUCAAUGGGAGAAAUCCUGAAGCAGCAACGCCGCGUGGAGGAUGAAGGGUCUAUGACUUGUAAACUCCUGUAAAGAAGGAAAAAAUUCCCAUUAGAUGGGAGAUGAUGGUACUUCUGGAGUAAGCCCCGGCUAACUACGUGCCAGCAGCCGCGGUAAUACGUAGGGGGCAAGCGUUGUCCGGAUUUACUGGGUGUAAAGGGUGCUCAGGCGGAUUUGUAAGUCAGAGGUGAAAUCUUACAGCUUAACUGUGAAACUGCCUUUGAUACUGCAAGCCUAGAAUAUGGAAGAGAGUGAUGGAAUAUCUGGUGUAGCAGUGAAAUGCGUAGAUAGCAGAUAGAACACCAAUGGCGAAGGCAGUCACUUGGUCCAUUACUGACGCUAAAGCACGAAAGCGUGGGUAGCAAACA